UACGAAGGGUGCUAGCGUUGUUCGGAAUCACUGGGCGUAAAGCGCGCGCAGGCGGCUAUUCAAGUCAGGGGUGAAAUCCUUGGGCUUAACCCAAGAAUUGCCUUUGAAACUGUAUAGCUGGAGUGUCGGAGGGGAUAGCGGAAUUCCUAAUGUAGCGGUGAAAUGCGUAGAUAUUAGGAGGAACACCGGUGGCGAAGGCGGCUAUCUGGACGACAACUGACGCUGAGACACGAAAGCGUGGGGAGCAAACAGG
Molecule: ribosomal RNA, 253 nt
Filed under: uncultured bacterium
Lineage: Bacteria
Description: partial 16S ribosomal RNA
Rfam family: Bacterial small subunit ribosomal RNA
Source: RNAcentral